CCUACGGGCGGCAGCAGUGGGGAAUAUUGCACAAUGGGCGGAACCCUGAUGCAGCCACGCCGCGUGAGUGAAGAAGUAUUUCGGUGUGUAAAGCUCUAUCAGCAGGGAAGAAAAUGACGGUACCUGACUAAGAAGCCCCGGCUAACUACGUGCCAGCAGCCGCGGUAAUACGUAGGGGGCACGCGUUAUCCGGAUUUACUGGGGGUAAAGGGAGCGUAGACGGUUAUGCAAGUCUGAAGUGAAAGCCCAGGGCUCAACCAUGGGACUGCUUUGGAAACUGUAGAACUGGAGUGCAGGAGAGGUAAGCGGAAUUCCUAGUGUAGCGGUGAAAUGCGUAGAUAUUAGGAGGAACACCAGUGGCGAAGGCGGCUUACUGGACUGUAACUGACGUUGAGGCUCGAAGGCGUGGGGAGCAAACAGGAUUAGAUACCCGAGUAGUC
RNAcentral lists this ribosomal RNA (440 nucleotides) under uncultured bacterium. RNAcentral's name for it is "partial 16S ribosomal RNA". It matches the Rfam family "Bacterial small subunit ribosomal RNA", at positions 338 to 795 of the family's 1533-position model. The record is from RNAcentral.